CAGCUUGUUGGUGAGGUAAUGGCUCACCAAGGCGACGACGGGUAGCCGGCCUGAGAGGGUGACCGGCCACACUGGGACUGAGACACGGCCCAGACUCCUACGGGAGGCAGCAGUGGGGAAUAUUGCACAAUGGGCGAAAGCCUGAUGCAGCGACGCCGCGUGAGGGAUGACGGCCUUCGGGUUGUAAACCUCUUUCAGUAGGGAAGAAGCGAAAGUGACGGUACCUGCAGAAGAAGCGCCGGCUAACUACGUGCCAGCAGCCGCGGUAAUACGUAGGGCGCAAGCGUUAUCCGGAUUUAUUGGGCGUAAAGAGCUCGUAGGCGGUUUGUCGCGUCUGCCGUGAAAGUCCGAGGCUCAACCUCGGAUCUGCGGUGGGUACGGGCAGACUAGAGUGAUGUAGGGGAGACUGGAAUUCCUGGUGUAGCGGUGAAAUGCGCAGAUAUCAGGAGGAACACCGGUGGCGAAGGCGGAUCUCUGGACCUUUCCUGACGCUGAGGAGCGAAAGCAUGGGGAGCAAACAGGCUUAGAUACCCUGGUAGUCCAUGCCGUAAACGGUGGGCACUAGGUGUGGGACUCAUUCCACGA
RNAcentral lists this ribosomal RNA (585 nucleotides) under uncultured Arthrobacter sp. Its description in RNAcentral is "bacterial SSU rRNA". It matches the Rfam family "Bacterial small subunit ribosomal RNA", at positions 242 to 837 of the family's 1533-position model. Lineage: Bacteria; Bacillati; Actinomycetota; Actinomycetes; Micrococcales; Micrococcaceae. The record is from RNAcentral.